UACAGAGGAUGCAAGCGUUAUCCGGAAUGAUUGGGCGUAAAGCGUCUGUAGGUGGCUUUUUAAGUCCGCCGUCAAAUCCCAGGGCUCAACUCUGGACAGGCGGUGGAAACUACCAAGCUGGAGUACGGUAGGGGCAGAGGGAAUUUCCGGUGGAGCGGUGAAAUGCGUAGAGAUCUGGAGGAACACCGAUGGCGAAGGCAGCCUUCUGGGCCAACACUGACGCUCAUGCACGAAAGCGUGGGGAGCAAACAGG
This 253-nucleotide ribosomal RNA is filed under the name uncultured bacterium. RNAcentral's name for it is "partial 16S ribosomal RNA". It matches the Rfam family "Bacterial small subunit ribosomal RNA", at positions 524 to 776 of the family's 1533-position model. The record is from RNAcentral.